RNAcentral lists this ribosomal RNA (459 nucleotides) under uncultured bacterium. RNAcentral describes it as "partial 16S ribosomal RNA". It matches the Rfam family "Bacterial small subunit ribosomal RNA", at positions 338 to 795 of the family's 1533-position model. The record is from RNAcentral.
CCUACGGGUGGCAGCAGUGAGGAAUAUUGGUCAAUGGGCGCAAGCCUGAACCAGCCAAGUCGCGUGAUGGAAGACGGUCCUAUGGAUUGUAAACCUCUUUUGUCGGGGAGCAAAAGACGCCACGCGUGGCGUUCCGAGAGUACCCGAAGAAAAAGCAUCGGCUAACUCCGUGCCAACAGCCGCGGUAAUACGGAGGAUGCGAGCGUUAUCCGGAUUUAUUGGGUUUAAAGGGUGCGCAGGCGGAAGAUCAAGUCAGCGGUAAAAUUGAGAGGCUCAACCUCUUCGAGCCGUUGAAACUGGUGUUCUUGAGUGAGCGAGAAGUAUGCGGAAUGCGUGGUGUAGCGGUGAAAUGCAUAGAUAUCACGCAGAACUCCGAUUGCGAAGGCAGCAUACCGGCGCGCAACUGACGCUCAUGCACGAAAGUGUGGGUAUCGAACAGGAUUAGAUACCCGUGUAGUC